GUUAUCUAAAUUAAACACGUGUCUUUUCCUAUCCGUCUAUUUAUUGUAAAUGAUGACCCUCCCCUCAUUCACAUCAGUAUCAUAGUCUAUGUAGCUAUACAUCAGGAGACAGUCUAAAAUACUCUAUCAGAAAAGUGAAACAUGACGGAGGAAAAUACAGGGAAUUUGGAAGCCAAUGACUGUACUAUGUGUGACAGGUGUGGACAGAAAUAUCCUGGUGACUAUCCACGCAACAGUGAUUCAAGCAAAAUUCAGCGGGCGAUCCAAAAAGACAAGGCCAGUAAAAUCCUAACUGUUUUAGGGUUGCUGGCUUUAAUGGAAGGAUUUCUCUGUCUCGUGGCUGCCUACCUCGAUCAAACUUGGGGCGUGUUGCCCACCGAUCCAUUGUCCAUUCUUGGUGUGGCGUCCAUUUUAGCCGGAUGUCUCCUCACCGUUGGAUCUUUCCUCGCUAGUUCAAGAUCAGUUAAUGAGAAAGAGGACAUGAAAGAAAAUUCAGAGAUUUGUACAGACAAUAAGAAAGACAGAUAAACUUGAGUCGAUACAUCGAGGAGAUUAAAAAAUCCUUAGUCAACUUCGUUUAUAACGAAUUUCUAGGGAAUGUGAAAAACACUUCGAACGUUAUAUCCAGAUUCGUUAUUCCUGAUUGCAAGGCUUUAGAUAAAAGAAAAAGAAAAAAAGAGAACACAACAAUACAGAAAAUAUAUCGUGCAUUUAAUUCCAAGCAUUCAUUGUAUUCAAUCAAAAAAGUAAUCUGUUACAAAUACAGGUAAAGUUAUCCGAGUUCAAAAAAUCAGAGAUCGUCGUUUAGCUUUUCGUUUCAUUUUUUUUUUUAAACCUGAACGAAAUUAAAUCUACCGAGACAAACAUUAGGCUUAUCAUCAGUGCUACCUCAUCAGAACGUGGUUCGUUCUCGUCGUGGGGGCAUUUGCAAGUAACCCCGCUUUGAAAACUGCUAUUAAAUGUCGGAUUGACAAGGGAUAAUUUAUCUCAUUAAUGUUUUCGUUAUUAGUAAAUGAAUUUGAAAUCAGAUUCAUUGAUAAUGCCACUGCCAACUUCUUAACGUAGAUGAUUUAGUCUUUGUUUUUAGAAUCAAUCAAAGUGUGUUAAGAUUUUCGAACAGCUUAAGUGAGUACGUCAACAAAAGGAAAUUAGUAGUGAUUACGAAGAAUACCAAAUAGUAGUUUUCAGAAAUGGUGGCCGUAUUAAAGAUAACGAAUGUUAGAAAUAUAAUGACAAACCAUAGCGAUAGUAGAUCAAUUCUAGUAUUCAGGAGUCUAGUUAGAAUGACCAUCUAGAUUUUAAUUACCUUAUUGUAGAUUGCCUUGUCGGAAACGUACGAGACACCGCGCUGUCGAUUGAGUCAACAGUGCAGUCUUAUUGGUUUCCGACGAUGCUGGGAGCCCCAUUGAGAUUUAAUGAUACAUGUGCAUGUUUAUUAACUGAUAUGCUUAAACAGACAUCCAAAAGUAUUAAACGAACUAUUAGACAUAAUCAAAACACCACUGUGUGAAUACUUCAAAAUGGAGAGUUUCCGAACAGUUGGAAGGAAGGGCAAAUAACGGCAAUCCACAAGAAGGGAGACAAGAAAACACUGGGGAGCUAUAUACAAGUUGUGAUGGGUACUUCUUCAUAUGAGGAUAUCCAUACGCCGACCACGUGCAUUUGUUUACAAACAUCCCUUGAUUUGAUAUGCGAUUAUUUGAAGUGGUGAGAAAAAUAAUCAUUCCUUACCUAGGGAGUGUGACAAAGAAAUCUCAACCCUCGGGGAAACUCAUGAAUGUCCAACCCUCGGCAAUCCUCAGGUUGGAUGUUCAUGAAUUCCCCCUCGAGUUGAGAUUUCUUUGUCACACCUCCAUGACAGGGGAAAAUUCUAUUAAUCCACUGUCGGAAAAUAUUUGAUCUUGAUAUAUAGGCAUUUCCGUGCGUCCAUUAUUAUUUUUAUUAUUAUUAAACAUGUAGCCAGACAAGGUCGUAAAGCUGUAACCAUUUAAAAUGAACAUUAAUACAAUGGUACAUCUUUUAGACGCAUAUGUUGGUAUCAUUUUACACUACGCUUGUGAUACAUGAGGGAGUUUUAAUUAAAUGCAGUUAUAGAAACAAGAGGCCCAUGGGCCUAAACGGUCACCUGACAAACACUUACAGCAGGGACACACCCCUCAAUCCGUAGGGCUCAACCAGUAUCAUUACCAUAACUUGUCUGGUCGCAGCCAGUUGUUUUAGAUCAAAUUUGGUUUUUAUCCAUUUUGGCUUAAAGGAGUUGCACCUUAAAGCAAACUUUCAGCCAAGUUACUGUUUUGGGGCCUCACCUCUCUGUCCCAGGGGUCAGACCAGCCUCAGUUAUAUAAAUAAUGAUUGCCCAUCCCCAAUGAUACUUCGUACUAAAUAUGGUUGUAAUCAAUUAAGGUAUUUACACAAUAUAUACGUAGUAGAAGCGUUUUAAAGCAAUAUUUGAACACCAAAUUUGGUUGUUAUCCACUAAAAGGUUAAUGAAGAUUAGGGUUUUAAAACAACAAUGUUACUCUGAAAAUGUACCUAUACAGGUAUCUUGCAGACAAGGUUACCCUGUAAAUGUACCUAUACAGGUAUCUUGUAGACAAUGUUACUCUGUAAAUGUACCUAUACAGGUAUCUUGUAGAUACUGUUACUCUGUAAAUGUACCUAUACAGGUAUCUUGUAGACAUUGUUACUCUGUAAAUGUACCUAUACAGGUAUCUUGUAGACAUUGUUACUCUGUAAAUGUACCUAUACAGGUAUCUUGUAGACAAUGUUACUCGGUAAAUGUACCUAUA
Long non-coding RNA from Pecten maximus, 2789 nucleotides. RefSeq lists it as uncharacterized. NCBI's taxonomy places the organism in Eukaryota, Metazoa, Mollusca, Bivalvia, Pectinida, Pectinidae. The record is from RefSeq and is a predicted model, not a curated record. The transcript has 3 exons.